Long non-coding RNA from Sus scrofa (pig), 5661 nucleotides. RefSeq lists it as uncharacterized. The record is from RefSeq and is a predicted model, not a curated record. Lineage: Eukaryota; Metazoa; Chordata; Mammalia; Artiodactyla; Suidae.
CUUCACUAACUAGGGAAAUGCCAACUAAACCAUAAUGAGGUACCAUUUCUUAUCCAGCAGAUUGGGGAAACUAAAAAGUCUGACAAUUUCAAAUGUUUGUGAUCAAAUGGAGAACUGGGAACUCUUCCACACUGUUGGGGUGUCAAUUGGUAUAAGCACUUUGGAGACCAUGCAACACCUAAAAGCAAAGAUGCCUACAUCCUCCAGCCCAGCAUUUUCACUAUGUGAAUCACAAAGGUCUUGCACUUGCGCAUGAAGAGGCAGUUACAAGAACGUUCGUUGCAAUAUUGUUGUAAUAAUAAAAAAAGGGGGGAAAAUCCAAAUGUCUAUUAUCAGGACAAUGGGUAAAUGAAUUGCAGCAUAUUCAUCUGUUGACAAUACAAGUCCAUAUUACAAAAAUAACGAAAGUUUGAGCCAGGGAGUAAUAUGUGAUUUGCUUCUGAAAGCUCUCCAUUUUAAGAUUAAACAUAGAAUUGAGUCUGAGUGCUUGGAAACUUUUAUAGCAAUUUUAAGGUGAUUUUAAUGCAUGUUCAACCUAAUCAUUAAAAAAUGGGGCUAGUACUUGGUAUUUUAUAGUUCAUUAUAAUUCCAUUUUUUUCUAGAAAUAAACUCUUACUUACACAAGUAUUGGUGUACAAUGCAUUGAAACCAACCAACCAGCCAACCACACCAGGCCUGAAUAAACAGUCUGAGAUGCAUUGCUCUACCUUAAUGACAAUUGAUAUGUGAACUGGAGAUCAUCACUUGCCACCUGCCUCUACAGGGAUUGAAUCAUGAACCACUGCAGCUGCUGACAACUCAAUACGCCCUGAAAGGAGUUCAGGGUGGAGAUCAGGAGUGAGGCUUUGGAAAACUGGCAAAACAGGUCUUCAGAUAGUUAGAUAUUUUCAGGCGGAGAUUUUAUGAGCCCAAUUCUUGCACCUCCUCAUAUCUAGAAAAGCACAAAAAUCUUUCACAAUGACGUCUGCCCCUCGUGACUAGCAGUAAACUUUACAAGACCAGCAGAAAUCUUCUGCAAAAUGUAUGUGCUUGAGUGCACGUACCUCCCCCUUCACCAAAAUCACAUCUAUACUGACCUUCCCCCCUACCUCUUCGGAGUGGUUUUUCAGAGCUAUCUGAAAUACUGCCUCCCAAGCUAUAGUCUUCAUUUUGUCCCAAAUACAACUUAAUUCUUGACUUUUAUAUUGUGCAUAUUUUUUUAAGUCAACAGAUAUCUAUGUGAUUUUUUUUUUCUACAAUGUAUAAGUUUUCUUGUUCAUUGGAGAUCUUGUACUUUACUCCUAAAAUAUUAAUGUCCAGCUUGGGUUCUCCAGAAUUGUUUUAUUUGAUUCGGAUAUUUACCUUGCAUAUAAAGAUGUGGCUAUUCUCUGCAGGCAUUUCCCCUAGAGACACAUGCAAAUGUAGCUGAAAUUUCCUGUUGGUAAACAGCAAGUCUUUAAAUCUAGAAUCAGGUGAUUGACAUACAGACGCCUAAUAAAUUGGAUUGCUUUCAGAGCAAUAUCCUUUCCAGUUAACUGUUAAUUGACCAGUUUGGUGCUUUUCUUUAUCAAAAAUAUCAUAUGGUAUGUAAAAAGACUAGAUAGGGCUUAAGGUAUUUCAUAGACCUUUUAUAGGACAAAUGAACCUUAUGCUGUAGGAGAUGAGAAAGAUGUAAAUUAAAAAAACAUCAUGACAGUAAGAGAACACAAUCAAACCAAAUCUCCCCUUCAGUGUCUGGCAGCACACUCCCCGAGAAGUUUCAGGCUGUGUGUGGUCUCCACCUAGGGCUCCAAAGUCUUCUUAAUGGACUUUGUGACAGCGGGUUCCCAGUUUACCUGGGAUUCUGUCUCUAAGCUACAGCACUGCUAUUAGAGGCCCACAAAUGUGUUUUGGAUUUCCUUUCCCCCUCAUGAAAAAAACUUUUUAAAAAUGCCAUUUUUGAAACCAAAUUACUUACUGAUUUCCAGGAUCCUCUUACACCUGCCACUUCUCAAGGGACUUUUGGUGGUAUAAUCUUUUAAUUUUUCUGGAAGCCUAGCAAAACACAGCCAACGGCUGUUUUUCUAUCAGAAACACGUACUCUUUCCAACAGCAUGCUUUUUAAAAAACUUUAACUUGCUGAGUUCCUUUAAAACUUUUAACUUAUAGCAAUUUAGCGUCUUUGCCACGCUUUUUUCUAUUUCCUAUUUCAUUCCUUAUGUGUUACUUAACAUUCAUUUGAGUCUUUGAGGUAUAUGAAAUUAGAGGAGGCCGAUACCGAAAAAGAGAUGGGUUCUUAAAAAAGAUGGGUUCCGGGACUUAAGUUUUUGAGGCGGCAAGGUGAUGGAUGAAGACAAAGUAGCCAAAUGAGAACAGAGCGUGAAAAAGGUCCCUAAAGAUGAGGCGCACCAACAACUGAUGAAUGAUUUAUCCAGCAAAACUUUGAAGCAAGUCGAACUCCUCAAUUUGGCUGCUGCAGAGGCCAAGGUAGGAGAAAAGGUUGGCGAGGUCCUGCAAAGCCAAGUUCAAAUACAUGCAAAUAUACGGUCGGUGCUGUGAUUGGCCAGCAAGGGCUGCUCAGGGAAAGAGAAGACCAGUUGAGGAGUCGAGGCGGCGGCAGCAGCUCAGACCACAGCAGGGCACUCCACCCUCCCGCAGCGCAGGCGAAGCCAAAGCCCGAGCUGAAGCCCCUGGGCAGCGGACUGCGCAGGUCACGUGACAACCCCCGAGUCCGGCCCUAAUUGGCUAUCAAACCUUGCAGCCUCCCUUCCACUAUUUCCCAGAAAUAUUUUUGGAAACUACUUUUCCCAUAGGGUCUUGCGGCCCUGAUUACUUCGCCCUGAUUUCUUCCCGGUGAUUUCUGGAGGCAGUGCUGGGCUUGUCCAGUAUUCACGUGGACCUCAGCAGGCGCCAGGAGGACAGAUACCUCCAGGAUUAAAACAUCCCGCUCUGUGGAGGCGGGGAAACCAAGCCGCCGCGGCCCCUCCUUUUGGGCAGAGGUCUCUGGGAAAUGCAGUAACUCGAGGGCCUCCGCGUCCGGCCGCGUCUCUCCCAGUCCUGCGGGUUGGAGUGCAACGGGAACUAGUGGGAAGAGGAGGGGCGCGGCAGAUCUUCCACACUGGCUCCUCCCCGCCAGCAGGUGGCGCUGCGUCGGAGCAUCCACUCAUCUACCUCCGAGUUGUCCCAAACGGGAAUUUCCCUUCAAUCCCGUAGUCCUGGAGUUCUCCAAGCAUAGAUUUUGAUUAAGCAAUUUUUAGAGAAAUUUGUUGAGAAAUGGGGCACCCUAUUUUAAAAGAAAGGAACGAUAACGGCCCCAAAUUACCCCCCGGCUCUUGCUGCUCAUCGGAUGCAUUGUGAGGGUGCAAAGAAUCAUGGCGCUGCGUAUACGGGGGAUCCAUUUUAUGCCAGGACUUGCAUCGGGCAGUGACUUCCGCCCCUAGGGAGCGACAGCUGUUCUUCCAGCUCUUUUCAGUGGGUAGCUGGUCUUCGGGGCUGUCACGGCUGUCCCCUAACCCUAUUGUUUCUGCCUUGGCGGGACAUUUGUUCUGCUUAGCUGCAGGGGUAUUGCCCUCAUUUUACGGGUUGGAAAACUGAGGGUGGAUGAAGACUAUAUAGCUAGUAGUGUAGUCGGAACUCAGUACAAUCGAAACUAAAUCUGAUUGUUGUCUCAAACGUGAUGUCCACGUCGUGUGAUGGACAUGAGGCCAGGCAGUAUUUUCAGAUUAAAUAUCUAUUGAGAGAAUGAGUGAAAGAGCUAGCCAUCGCUAGCCUCCACCUGGUACCUGAUGAGAAGAUGACCCGUGGCUCCUAUUCAUGGCAGAGGAGAUUAGCAUCUCAAAGGGCCAGAAGGCAUGGGCUGGAGCUCUCUCAGCUUCUGCGAUUGGCUUCAAAAAUCUCUUCCUAUCAUUUUGGACUAAUGGCAUUUGUCAUCCAGUGAAGGUUAGUGAAACCAAUGUUUGAUAACCACCUCCUCCACCCUGACCCUUUGUGGAUGUGCCAAGAGGCAGCUGCAAAACCGGAUUCACAACAGAGGCCGUCAAGGAAAACACGAAAGAGAUUGUGGAGAUAGCAUAAAAGAUGGGGCCUGAAUGGUUGCAAGAUGUGGAUCUUGAAUUCAAGCGCUAAUGGACACCAGCCCCACCAGAGGAAUGAACGGAAGAUGGCUUGAUGGAGAUGAGUGCCCUGCCAGUGCCAGUGAUGAGGAAGAAGAUGAAGAAGCAGAGGCGGAAAACAAUUUGACAGUAGACAGUCCGGCAGAAGGAUGCUGACUCUUCAGGCCUGCUUUUGAUUUCUUUUACGAUAACAGGUUUUGGAACUAAAGCGGAUAGUGGAAGAUGGACUGGUACCCUAUGGAAAACAUUAGUUACACCAAGCAUGCCUGCCUCCCCUUCCACCUCCUUCUCCUCUUCCUCCUCUGUCACCCCCGAGUCAGCAAGACCAUCCCCUCCCCUUCCUCCUGAGCCUCCUCAGCAUGAAGACGAGGAGGAUGAAGACCUUAAUGACGAACCACUUCCACUUAAUGAACAGUAAAUAGUCAUCAGGCCUUGCAGUUAAGAAACUUAUCUGUUGUGUAUAUUACAUCACUGGGUGACAAUCUAAGACAUUCUUGUCUCAUCAUCAUCAUCACUAAGUAUUCAUUGUGUAGGACAUCAUGUGCAAGAGUCGUAGUGAGGAGUUGUUGUGGCCCAGCAGGUUGAGAACCCAACAUUAGUGUCCGUGAGGAUGUGGAUUUGAUCCUUGGCCUCACUUAGUGGGUUAAGGAUCUGCAAGCUGCAGCACAGGUCUCAGGUGUAGCUUGGAUCCAGUGUGGCUGUGGCUGUGGCAGAGGCCCGCAGCUGCAGCUCUGAUUCGACCCCUAGCCCGGGAACUUCCAUAUGUUGUAGGUUCAGCCUAAAAAAAAAUAAAGUAAGGCAAAGACGUGUAUUUAAGUGGAUGGCCUAUCUUAUCCUUACAUAGGCAUAAGGCAAGAGCUAUUUAAUAUAAAAUUAAUAAUGUUAGUUUUCUUACCGUUUUAUUGUUUUUUAAUUUUUUUGUCUUUUUAGGGCCACACCCGUGGCAUAUGGAGGGUCCCAGGCUAGGGGUCUAAUCCGAGCCGCAUCUGCGACCUACACCACAGCUCACGGCAACGUGGGAUCGUUAACCUCCUGAGCGAGGCCAGGGAUCCAACCCGAAACCUCGUGGUUCCUAGUUGGAUUCAUUUCUCCUGCGCCACGACAGGAACUCCUUCUUACUGUUUUAUAAUUUGGCUUUCAAAGAAUUAUAUUACCGUACGGAAUCUCUCUCUCUCAUAAUUGGGGAAACUGUAUCAGCCUAUCAUUACAGGUAAGUGGUUUUUAAAAAAUGUAACAAUGUUUCCAAUGCUGUAUUAUGACUAUGACUGUAAUACUGUAUGCCAUAAAAAUUUUAUAACAAUUCAUUUAUUAAUGUAUUGGCUAGGCUACUGUGAAGCUAUUGUACACUAGGCCACCAUAAAGCAAUCACAUUGCUGCUUCUUCAUUAACAAUGCAUGAAUCGUUAUACCUGUAAAUAACUGAAUUUCCUUUUCAUAUUAUCUUUUAUUUUUAUCUUUUAUUUUUAAAGUCUACUGUUAGUAAUACAUAUAACAUAUAGAGUUUUGUAUUAUAUAUGACAAUUUGAUGUAAGUACUGACAGACAAUUCAUCUUGUGAACAGACAACAUAAACUUACAGUAUUGGUAAAUGUA